Long non-coding RNA from Etheostoma spectabile (orangethroat darter), 291 nucleotides. RefSeq lists it as uncharacterized. The transcript is spliced from 4 exons. The record is from RefSeq and is a predicted model, not a curated record. Lineage: Eukaryota; Metazoa; Chordata; Actinopteri; Perciformes; Percidae.
AGUAGGGUCCAGAUCCACUCUCACCUGGAGUACACGCCCAGGUCUGGAGAGAAGAUAUCCUGUAUGGUGGAACACGCCAGCCUGAGAGAACCUCUGAUGACCCCCUGGGACCCGUCCAUGCCUGAGUCUGACAGGAACAAGAUUGCCAUCGGAGCCUCAGGACUGAGUCUGGGUCUGGUCUUAUCUCUGGCUGGAUUCAUCUACUACAAGAGCAAGACCCGAGGACGGAUUCUGGUUCCCAGUAGCUGAUUCUGGACCUGGUUCUGGUCCUGCAGCUGUUUGUCAGAUGGA